RNAcentral lists this long non-coding RNA (790 nucleotides) under Ananas comosus (pineapple). RNAcentral's name for it is "long non-coding RNA (ACOM_LNC012617)". Lineage: Eukaryota; Viridiplantae; Streptophyta; Magnoliopsida; Poales; Bromeliaceae. The record is from RNAcentral.
GCUACUAUACUCUUACGAGUACAAUCGCCUUCGUACUCAUAAGUUGUUUUCGAUAAUAGAGCUUCCGAAUUGAGGAUCCAUACCGUCAAACAUUAUCUAGAGCAUUUAAAACUUCUACAAAUCGAAUUUUAUAAUUUUUCGAUAUCAUUUACCUUACGAUCAAAAGCCCACAAAAUUAAUAAUUUUUAACGGCCAAUAUGAGAUAUUUGCUAAUUUAACGGUGUAAAAGAAUCGGAAUAGGUUGAAUUUUUGAUAAAAAAUUCUAUUCACUACCUAAAUAAAGAUCAAUAACUCUGAUCUUAAAUUGAAGGAUCCGAUCAUCCAUUCUUAAGAUGUCGUUCGAUUUUGACCGUUCAUUUUAUACCCGUUUGAUAGACUUUAUAAUGAUUUCGAAAAAUUACGAAAUUUAUUUUCUAAAAGUUUCAAAUACCCUAAAUCAUAUUUAACGGUGUGGAUCGUCAAUUCAAAAGCCCCAACAUCAAAAACUACUUAUGAGUACAAAUGACUCUAUACUUAUAAGAGUAUAGUAAUCCUACUCUAUAUAUAUAUAAACUAUAUAUUAAUCCCCAAUGUUGUAAGGUGACGUGGCACCUUCUCCUUAGCUUGGAACUUUUUUGAACCGAACUGACCUGUCUCUUCUUUCAAUUAUUCUUCUUUGAACUGCUUUUUUUUUCUAUUCAAUUUUUUAAACUGAACUGACGUAUUUUACUAUAUAUUUUGUGUUGAACCCGGUUCUUCACUGAACCAACUCAUCUCUUCUUUUUAAUUUUUUUGAACCGAACAAUCCCCA